GAUGAACGCUGGCGGCGUGCCUAAUACAUGCAAGUCGAGCGAACGGACGAGAAGCUUGCUUCUCUGAUGUUAGCGGCGGACGGGUGAGUAACACGUGGAUAACCUACCUAUAAGACUGGGGUAACUUCGGGAAACCGGAGCUAAUACCGGAUAAUAUUUUGAACCGCAUGGUUCAAAAGUGAAAGACGGUCUUGCUGUCACUUAUAGAUGGAUCCGCGCUGCAUUAGCUAGUUGGUAAGGUAACGGCUUACCAAGGCAACGAUGCAUAGCCGACCUGAGAGGGUGAUCGGCCACACUGGAACUGAGACACGGUCCAGACUCCUACGGGAGGCAGCAGUAGGGAAUCUUCCGCAAUGGGCGAAAGCCUGACGGAGCAACGCCGCGUGAGUGAUGAAGGUCUUCGGAUCGUAAAACUCUGUUAUUAGGGAAGAACAUAUGUGUAAGUAACUGUGCACAUCUUGACGGUACCUAAUCAGAAAGCCACGGCUAACUACGUGCCAGCAGCCGCGGUAAUACGUAGGUGGCAAGCGUUAUCCGGAAUUAUUGGGCGUAAAGCGCGCGUAGGCGGUUUUUUAAGUCUGAUGUGAAAGCCCACGGCUCAACCGUGGAGGGUCAUUGGAAACUGGAAAACUUGAGUGCAGAAGAGGAAAGUGGAAUUCCAUGUGUAGCGGUGAAAUGCGCAGAGAUAUGGAGGAACACCAGUGGCGAAGGCGACUUUCUGGUCUGUAACUGACGCUGAUGUGCGAAAGCGUGGGGAUCAAACAGGAUUAGAUACCCUGGUAGUCCACGCCGUAAACGAUGAGUGCUAAGUGUUAGGGGGUUUCCGCCCCUUAGUGCUGCAGCUAACGCAUUAAGCACUCCGCCUGGGGAGUACGACCGCAAGGUUGAAACUCAAAGGAAUUGACGGGGACCCGCACAAGCGGUGGAGCAUGUGGUUUAAUUCGAAGCAACGCGAAGAACCUUACCAAAUCUUGACAUCCUUUGACAACUCUAGAGAUAGAGCCUUCUCCUUCGGGGGACAAAGUGACAGGUGGUGCAUGGUUGUCGUCAGCUCGUGUCGUGAGAUGUUGGGUUAAGUCCCGCAACGAGCGCAACCCUUAAGCUUAGUUGCCAUCAUUAAGUUGGGCACUCUAAGUUGACUGCCGGUGACAAACCGGAGGAAGGUGGGGAUGACGUCAAAUCAUCAUGCCCCUUAUGAUUUGGGCUACACACGUGCUACAAUGGACAAUACAAAGGGCAGCGAAACCGCGAGGUCAAGCAAAUCCCAUAAAGUUGUUCUCAGUUCGGAUUGUAGUCUGCAACUCGACUACAUGAAGCUGGAAUCGCUAGUAAUCGUAGAUCAGCAUGCUACGGUGAAUACGUUCCCGGGUCU
This 1372-nucleotide ribosomal RNA is filed under the name uncultured bacterium. RNAcentral's name for it is "bacterial SSU rRNA". It matches the Rfam family "Bacterial small subunit ribosomal RNA", at positions 28 to 1381 of the family's 1533-position model. The record is from RNAcentral.